This 468-nucleotide ribosomal RNA is filed under the name uncultured bacterium. RNAcentral describes it as "partial 16S ribosomal RNA". It matches the Rfam family "Bacterial small subunit ribosomal RNA", at positions 28 to 507 of the family's 1533-position model. The record is from RNAcentral.
GACGAACGCUGGCGGCGUGCUUAACACAUGCAAGUCGAACGGAAAGGCCCUGCUUUGGUUGGGUGCUCGAGUGGCGAACGGGUGAGUAACACGUGAGUAACCUGCCCUGGACGUUGGGAUAACUUCAGGAAACUGGGGCUAAUACCGGAUAGGAGCUCCUGCUGCAGGGGGGGGGUUGGAAAGUUUCGGCGGGUGGGGAUGGACUCGCGGCUUAUCAGCUUGUUGGGGGGGGAGUGGCUUACGGAGGCAUUGGCGGGUAGCCGGCCUGGGAGGUGGACCGGCGACAAUGCGCCUGCGGUAGGGCCCAGUGUGCAACGGGAGGCAGCAGGGGGGAAUAUUGCACAACGGGCGGAAGCGUGAUACGGCAGCGCCCGGUUCGUGAUGACGUCCUUCGGGUUGUAAACCGGAUUGGCCUGAGACGAAGCGUGGGUGACGGUAAUGGGUAAAGAAGCACCGGCUAACUACGUG